Molecule: ribosomal RNA, 812 nt
Filed under: uncultured bacterium
Lineage: Bacteria
Description: bacterial SSU rRNA
Rfam family: Bacterial small subunit ribosomal RNA
Source: RNAcentral
GCGGUAGAGAGAAGCUUGCUUCUCUUGAGAGCGGCGGACGGGUGACCAAUGCCUAGGAAUCUGCCUGGUAGUGGGGGAUAACGUUCGGAAACGGACGCUAAUACCGCAUACGUCCUACGGGAGAAAGCAGGGGACCUUCGGGCCUUGCGCUAUCAGAUGAGCCUAGGUCGGAUUAGCUAGUUGGUGAGGUAAUGGCUCACCAAGGCGACGAUCCGUAACUGGUCUGAGAGGAUGAUCAGUCACACUGGAACUGAGACACGGUCCAGACUCCUACGGGAGGCAGCAGUGGGGAAUAUUGGACAAUGGGCGAAAGCCUGAUCCAGCCAUGCCGCGUGUGUGAAGAAGGUCUUCGGAUUGUAAAGCACUUUAAGUUGGGAGGAAGGGUUGUAGAUUAAUACUCUGCAAUUUUGACGUUACCGACAGAAUAAGCACCGGCUAACUCUGUGCCAGCAGCCGCGGUAAUACAGAGGGUGCAAGCGUUAAUCGGAAUUACUGGGCGUAAAGCGCGCGUAGGUGGUUUGUUAAGUUGGAUGUGAAAUCCCCGGGCUCAACCUGGGAACUGCAUUCAAAACUGACUGACUAGAGUAUGGUAGAGGGUGGUGGAAUUUCCUGUGUAGCGGUGAAAUGCGUAGAUAUAGGAAGGAACACCAGUGGCGAAGGCGACCACCUGGACUAAUACUGACACUGAGGUGCGAAAGCGUGGGGAGCAAACAGGAUUAGAUACCCUGGUAGUCCACGCCGUAAACGAUGUCAACUAGCCGUUGGAAGCCUUGAGCUUUUAGUGGCGCAGCUAACGCAUUAAGUUGACCGCC